Molecule: unclassified non-coding RNA, 345 nt
Filed under: soil metagenome
Description: partial contains 5.8S ribosomal RNA, internal transcribed spacer 2, and large subunit ribosomal RNA
Rfam family: 5.8S ribosomal RNA (bases 1-120)
Source: RNAcentral
GAUGAAGAACGUAGCGAAAUGCGAUACGUAAUGUGAAUUGCAGAAUUCAGUGAAUCAUCGAGUCUUUGAACGCACAUUGCGCCCACUGGUAUUCCGGUGGGCAUGCCUGUUCGAGCGUCAUUAUCCUCCCUCAAACCUCGGGUUUGGUGUUGGACCCAAGUUGUGUGAACAACUGGUCUCAAAGACAAUGACGGCGUCCGUGGGACCCUCGGUGCAACGAGCUUUUAGGAGCACGCGUCGAGUUUCAAGGACCUUCCGGGCCGGUCUCCUUUACUAUUUUUACAAGGUUGACCUCGGAUCAGGUAGGAAUACCCGCUGAACUUAAGCAUAUCAAUAAGCGGAGGA